AUUGAACGCUGGCGGCAUGCUUUACACAUGCAAGUCGGACGGCAGCACAGAGAAGCUUGCUUCUUGGGUGGCGAGUGGCGAACGGGUGAGUAAUAUAUCGGAACGUACCGAGUAAUGGGGGAUAACUAAUCGAAAGAUUAGCUAAUACCGCAUAUUCUCUGAGGAGGAAAGCAGGGGACCUUCGGGCCUUGCGUUAUUCGAGCGGCCGAUAUCUGAUUAGCUAGUUGGUGGGGUAAAGGCCUACCAAGGCGACGAUCAGUAGCGGGUCUGAGGGGAUGAUCCCCCACCCUGGGGCUGACACCCGCCCCGGCGCCCGAGGGGGGGCGCAGGGGGGGAAUUUUGGAAAAUGGGCGGAACCCUGACCCAGCCAUGCCGGGUGUUUGAAGAAGGCCUUCGGGUGGUAAAGGCUUUUUUUGGGGGAAAAAAAGGUUGUUCCUAAACCCAGCGGGUGUGACGGGUACCGGAAAAAAAAGCCCCGCCUACCUCCGG
This 489-nucleotide ribosomal RNA is filed under the name uncultured bacterium. RNAcentral describes it as "partial 16S ribosomal RNA". It matches the Rfam family "Bacterial small subunit ribosomal RNA", at positions 30 to 506 of the family's 1533-position model. The record is from RNAcentral.